UCAGCGGCUCGUUUGAGAGACACCCAAGUAGCACGGGGCCCGAGAAAUCCCGUGUGAAUCUGGCGGGACCACCCGCUAAGCCUAAAUAUUCCCUGGUGACCGAUAGCGGAUAGUACCGUGAGGGAAUGGUGAAAAGUACCGCGGGAGCGGAGUGAAAUAGUACCUGAAACCGUGUGCCUACAAGCCGUGGGAGCGUCGGAUGGAAGCUUGCUUCCAUCUCGUGACUGCGUGCCUUUUGAAGAAUGAGCCUGCGAGUUUGCGGUGUGUUGCGAGGUUAACCCGGGUGGGAAGCCGUAGCGAAAGCGAGUCCGAAUAGGGCGUUUCAGUAGCACGCUCAACGACCCGAAGCGGAGUGAUCUAGCCAUGGGCAGGUUCGAAGCGGAGGUAAGACUUCGUGGAGGACCGAACCCACCAGGGUUGAAAACCUGGGGGAUGACCUGUGGUUAGGGGUGAAAGGCCAAUCAAACUCCGUGAUAGCUGGUUCUCCCCGAAAUGCAGUUAGGUGCAGCGUCGUGUGUUUCUUGCCCGGAGGUAGAGCACUGGAUAGGCGAUGGGCCCUACC
RNAcentral lists this non-coding RNA (562 nucleotides) under Streptomyces afghaniensis 772. Its description in RNAcentral is "Bacterial large subunit ribosomal RNA". It matches the Rfam family "Bacterial large subunit ribosomal RNA", at positions 385 to 932 of the family's 2925-position model. The record is from Rfam by way of RNAcentral. Lineage: Bacteria; Bacillati; Actinomycetota; Actinomycetes; Kitasatosporales; Streptomycetaceae.